Molecule: long non-coding RNA, 524 nt
Organism: Oncorhynchus keta (chum salmon)
Lineage: Eukaryota; Metazoa; Chordata; Actinopteri; Salmoniformes; Salmonidae
Exons: 4
Source: RefSeq, a predicted model, not a curated record
CUAAUUUUAACAUGUAAGAUGACUGAAAACACAUUGCCAUCUACAAGGGGAUCAGAGGAGAUGAGUUUGUAUGACAGUUAUACACUGAAUGUACAAAACACUGACACAGACUGACCAGGUGAAUGAUCCCUUAUUGAUCUCACCUGUUAAAUACAUUUCAAUCAGUGUAGAUGAAGGGGAGGAGACAGGUUAAAUAAGGAUUAGAUGAAGAGGAGGAGACAGGUUAAAUAAGGAUUAGAUGAAGAGGAGGAGACAGGUUAAAUAAGGAUUAGAUGAAGAGGAGGAGACAGGUUAAAUAAGGAUUAGAUGAAGAGGAGGAGACAGGUUAAUUAAGGAUUAGAUGAAGAGGAGGAGACAGGUUAAUUAAGGAUUAGAUGAAGAGGAGGAGACAGGUUAAAUAAGGAUUAGAUGAAGAGGAGGAGACAGGUUAAAUAAGGAUUAGAUGAAGAGGAGGAGACAGGUUAAUGAAGGAUUAGAUGAAGAGGAGGAGACAGGUUAAAGAAGGAUUAGAUGAAGAGGAGGAG